GGAAAGGAUAAUCUGUGUACCCAACAACAGGAUCAGGAAUGUAAAACGUGCUUCUGUUGUACUUGUUCAAAGGUGCAUUCAGCUCAAAGCGCUUCGGCAAAUCCGGAUUAGCUAAAAACAGACGGCCAAAAGCAACCAAAUCUGUAUAAUUCGCUGCAACAGCUUUGUUGCCUUCAUCUCUACUAUAUCCUCCAGCAGCAAUGAAAGUUCCCUCAAAAGCUCUCCUCAUCGACAACAAGCUGCGUUGAGUUUCAGACUUGUCAGUGAGUUGAAUCAUCCUUGGCUCGAUUACGUGUAGAUAAAGAAGCUUAAAUUUGUUGAGUGCUUUCGCCAUGUACAGGCCAAGUGCUUCCGGAUUUGAGUCUACGGCUUCCGCGCACUCAGCAUAAGGCGACAGUCUCAUGCCAACUCUUUCGGCUCCGAUUUCACGAACCACAGCUUCAACUACUUCCAGGGCAAAUCGGCAUCGGUUUUCAAGGCUUCCGCCGUAUUCAUCCGUCCUGUCAUUUACUUGAUCUUUCAUGAAUUGAUCAAUCAAGUAGCCAUUUGCUCCAUGAAUUUCAACCCCAUCAAAACCUGUGAAAUGGUAUCCCAAGUUAAAAUAAGCACCGGUAAACUUCAAUUAAUUCUCCCCAAUAGAAUGACAAUUUUCAAUUUAUCUUCUGAAGGUGUGAACAUCUCAAGUCACCCCAUUUUUCGUUCAAAAAAUGAUAGCAAUGGAGGUACGUGAUGAUUUUUUUUCAAUUUUUUUAACAAUGAAUGAUGAGAUUAAUUAAUGUUUUUAUAUUUUUAAAAAGUAAAUUAAAGAUUGUCAUUCUAAAUAGGAGUAAAUUAAAAUUUUUCCUAUAAUAUAUAAAAACACAUUUUCGAAUUAAAAUGCCUCUGGCCCAUUUUUUAAAAAAGGACUUGUUAGUUGCUUCGAUUUGUAGCAAAGAAUAGCAUAAAAGAAAGUAAAACAAUAAUAUAUUACUCAAAUUCGUACUUCAUAAAAUGUCAGACGUCGUUUAUGUAUUUUAAGAUAUGAUCAGGGUUACCUGCUUCAAUUGCAUUUCGAGCGGCAAGUCUGAAGUCAUUUACAAUUUUUGGGAUUUCUUCUAUGCUCAAUGGACGAGGAGGUGACCAGUCUAGUCCGUCUACGCCGGGCGUCACUCCCUUAGAAGUACUUGAGAUUGGAGCUUCUCCAUUUGGCUGAAGGCCUGUGUUCAUUUAAUAUAUAUCAUAUUAAAAUUCGCACUAUUUACACUAAAUAAUCAGAAAUUAGUUUUUUUUUUUUUAAAAACCCAAAAAAACAUUAUAUUGAUUAAGAAACUGUUCCAAACAAGGACACGAUUAUAACUUUAAAAGGUAAAUACUCUUUUGUUUCCUAUAACUUAACUGAAUUUUUUAUUUAUCUAAAAGAUUCUUGUUGAGUAUCUAUUUCCUUUAAAAUCGACCUCAUUAAUCUCUAUUUUUUAAAAUAUUUGUAACAAGAGGUUAGUUUUAUUGUUUCGUUUUUAACAAAAAUAUUUCUUGAGUCUGUUAGCCUUUUGAUCAUACCAUAAUUAGAGACUCGGCCUGCAUGCCAAAUUUGGCAAAAGAUGAUGCCACCCUUCUGAUGAACAGCAUCCACAAUUGGUUUCCAAGCUUCCACUUGCUCCUUUGUCCAAAUUCCAGGUGUGUUUGGAUACCUUCAAUUUAUUUAAAUUAAAUGGUUAUUAUCAAAAGUAUUUCUCCAAAAUCUGCUUCUUAUGCUACCCUUUGAAUUAAUAUUCAACUUACAUCAACAUUACUUCUUAGUUUCUCGAACAUUAAAAUUUUUUUUAUGAUUUCGAACCCCUUUUUUUCUGAAAGCACUUUUUUGAAGAUUCUGGAAAACAAUUGGCAGAGACUUUGCAAUCACACUUCAAAGAAAAAUCGUUUUGCAUCAUCUAAAAGUAGGGCAUCAAUAUAUAAUAUACGGAAACACUCAACAGAAAUUUUUUAAAAAAAAUCCAAUUAGUUCAAUAUGACUUGAAAAAGAAAUUGGGAAUCAUAUGGAAUUAAUUUUGAAAAUAUAUUUAUGUUUUUCAUAGAAUUCACAUAUGCAAAUGACAUGCGUUUAAUUACCGAAAAAAAGGAAGCAAAAAUAUAUUCACAAAAUUACCCUUGAGCAGUGUUGGAAACCCCAGUUGCUUCAGCAACGAGAAAACCACCAUUAGUAGUGCGCUGAGAAUAAUAUAAAAUGGCAUGUGGCUGUGGAAUGUGGUUGUAUGAUCUAAUUCUUGUCAAUGGAGCCAAUACCAUUCUGCAAAAAUAAGCAAAUCCAUUAGUUCAUGUUAAUUAAAAUAAAUUCUCAAAAAAAAGCUGAUAAAUUACUAACAAGCAACAUUUAUGACUAAAUUUUUUUCACCCAUUAAGCCGAGUUUCUUAAAAAUAUAAAUAAUAAUGUCGUCUACAAACAUUAGAAGAAAAACUUAGUAGAUAAAAUAAUUAUAUAAGCAAAGGAACCUGUGAGAGAGAUGGAAUUGUCCCAUUUUAUAAGCAGUGAGAAGGGGAAUAUUGGUGGUGGUGGUGGUGGCCGCAUCCAUUGAUGCAAUUAAUCUUUUAACUCUGCCUUGCCUCUCUUCUCCGCUUAUCGCUUCUUCUCCCAUCAACAUUCUAUUUUAUAGAAAAGAUUAUCAAAUAAUUCAAAUCAGAAAAGUCUAAAUUUGAGUCUCGUGGGAGCAAAAGUCAAUUAUUGCUAAAGAAAAUGUAAAGAGAGGAGUGACGCAGAUUGAUGUUUGCAAUUAGAUCUCCCGUCUGCUGUGGAACUUCUAUUUACCUUCCCCUUUUUACCUUUCUUAAUUAAAACAUAGCCUGGUUAUUUUAUCAAUUUGGUAAUAUGAUUUUUGCAUCAUAUAUAUAUUGCAAAUGUAUUAUUUAGAUUAUGUAAAAUAAUUUUUUUAAUCUGUAAUACAUUUGGUAAUAUAAACAUGUUUCUCAAAUGCGCACCACAAACAUGAAAUGGCCUCCAAUUUUUUUUUUUUUUUUUAAGGUGAACCUCCAGAGUAGGAGAGAAGUUUUAUUAGUAGGAAAAGAAAAAUUACACCUGCUUGGGGGGACACAAUGAGUCUUAUUCCUGUGAAAGAAAUUAAGAACAUUCCAAAAGAGAACCUCUAAACAAAUCAACCUAUGCAUGUAUGCAAAAAAAUAGUAAAUAGUUACAUACAAUAGAACCUCUAUAAAUUAAUUCUCGAUAAAUUAAUAAUCUCUAUUAUACAAUAAAUUUUGACGGUCCCAACUUGGACUAAUAGACUAAAUUAAUAAUUUCAAUAAAAUAACAAGAUAAUACUUUUCUAAAAAAAUCUUAUAUAACUUUGUGGUCCCAUUCAAAUCAUAAAUUAAUAAUUUUUCUAAAAUUACAAAUGUAUUUGACUAUAAUAUUUUAAUUAUAUAAAAUAUGACUAUUGUUACUUAUUUACAUAAAAUAUGACUUUAUUUUAUACUUGUUUUUCCUUAAAAUUUAAAUCUAGUUAGAUUUCAUCUCUUAUUUUUCUUAUUGCAUCUAAAAAUUCUGUGUAGUUACUUUCUCAAAUUAUAAUAAGAAAUUAUGAAAUAUUAUUGAUGUAUGUUAAUUGAAUUAGAAAUAACUCUGUAAAUUAAUAAAUUAAUAAUUUAUCGAUUUUUUAAUUUCUUUUAUAAUUAAUAGAUUUUAUAUGAUUCCAAUCCUAUUAAUUCAUAGAGGUUCUACUGUAAUAGAUUGAAAAUUAAAAAAAAAAACUAACAAAAUCCAUAGUUAGAGGCACCCAUUAUUUAAAUAUAGUUUUCCGAAAAUACUCAACAUAAGUUCAAUUGAAAAAAAACAGCCUUAAAAGUUAAUAUCACUGGAAAAAAAAUUGGGAACCGUGUGGCAUUUGUUUUGACAAUAGACACCCUAUUUUAAUAUUUUCCAUAAAAAUUUAAAUUUGUGAAUUAAAAAAAAGGAGUGAAAGGGAAAAAAAUAGUAGCACAAUUACCCUUGAGCAGUGUCUGAGAUCCUAUUUGCUUCAGCAAUGAGAAAACAGCUAUUAGUGCGCUGAGAGUAAUAAAAAAUGGCAUGUGGCUGUGGAAUGUUGUUGAACGAUCUAAUUCUUCCUAGUGGAGCGAAAAACUAUUUUGCAAAAAAAAUAUAAUAAUAAUUAAUUUUUUUAAAAAAUUAAUAAAUUACAUUUUUGAAAUAAAGAAUUCAUUAAUGUUAAUAAAUUACAAACAGAACCGUACGUGUGAGAGAGAUUGAAUGGCCCCAUUUUGUAUCGUGUGAGAAGAGGAAUGGCGUCGGCGGCUGCCAUGUUUGAUGUUUCCAGAAGCAACAGAAUAAAAUUAACAAAUAUUUGAAUUGACAGAUACAAGCUCUAGUAUCUGUAUAAACUUACACGUAUCAAACUGUGAGACUACUUGAUUCUUGUUUGAAUUUUGAAUGGUCUCAAAAUUAAUAAUUUAAUAUUUUUUAUAAUCAAGGCUCACUUCAUUUGAAUACAUAUAAGAGAUAUAAAACUUAGACCCGAAAUUAUAUAAUAUGACAUAGACAUCAUUUGAUUUAUAUUCUAGAUUUGACUCUUAGAAUGACAAAGGAAAACAGAUGGAAAGUAACUAGCUAUUAGGGAUAUGAAAACUAGCUGAUUACACUGUUUAGCAAGCACUACAAGUUUUUUUUUUUUUUUAAUUUAAAACCUACUAUUGGGGAGGUUAGGCGAGACCUCUUUACCUGUAAAAUAAAUUAAAAAUAAAAAAAAAAUAUUUAGAGGGAAAAAUAUACCAAAACUUCUAAGUCAAAGAAAGAAAUAGCCUAAAAGAGAAAAUUAGCAAAAGCAAAUAAAAGAAACAAAGAAUAAGCAAGAGAACACCCUAAGGCAAAGCCUAACAAAAGAAACCAUAUGAAAGUGAGCUAAUGCCCAAAGUACUUACGAUACUUCCGUCUGGUGACUAAUUUGAAGCCCUUCUUUGAACAAGAGGCACGUGGGCUAGCAACACUAAAAUGCAUCAGCCACCAUAUUCCCUUCAAAGCUAACAUUCUCAUUAGAAUGAGAAGGAAUCUCCGUAGAGUGGGAAUUGAAAUUCAUAACCAUUGUGCGAAUAUCAUCCACUAUAGAUAGAAAUAAAUUAGAGCCCACGAAUACCCUCUAAGCACCCGGAUAAUUCAAAAACAUAUCAUUACCAUCCGUGGUCAUAUCAACUGGGCUCCAUAGAGAAGAAUCACCAUGAUCCUCAAGGAGCAACAACUAGAUCAGACUGAACAGGAAUGGCAAUAUCAUCAACAACAAUAUCAUUAGUGCAAUUAGUAUUAGGCCGAACCUGGUCAACUAGAUCCACCUCAUCAUUUUGAGCAUCAGAAGUAGGGAUUCUAGCAUCCGAAGAGGCACCCUCAGUAGGGCAUAAGCUACUGAGGCAAACUAAAAGACUGCCCCUAAACAAAGGAAGGCUGAGUAACAAGCCCCAAGGCCAAUUAUCUAUAACAACGUACUGAGGAACAGUGGGAACCCGAGGCUGAACAUCUACAAUAGACAUAGGUUGCUUACCCUUAUCAGUAGUAUCUCUACCUUAACGCUCAUUAGCAGGUUAUUGAGGCUUCAAAAGCCAAGAAUUAGCUAUGUAGCAACCAUUCGUGGAAUGGCCAAGGUGCUUACAGGAAGGACAAUAAGAAGGAAUCUGCUCAAAAAUAAUAUCCUAUCAGAAAUUAGAAUCAACUUCACCAAUCUAAAGGCAUGGCAAUAAAGGCUAUGAAACAUCAUAUUCUAUCAAAACCCUAGCAACAGAAGGCCUAUCAACACGUAAAGGCUUUCUUAUAAUAACAAUUAUCGAAUAUAAUGCUGAUUUGCAAUGAAUAAAAUGAACAGGUAAAUACGACAAAGAAACCAAAACCAUAGGGGACUCCUCAGAACAACGAAAGGUAAUGGACCAUUUAAAAAUCCCCAUAGUUAUACCAUUUAUAUGCCAUGUUUACUUAACCCAAACUCGGGAACAGACUUCCUCUAACUGAAGCUUUAUCAAAUCAUGUCGAUUAUCAAGCAAAGCUAGAUGUGUCCUUUUAAGCCCAAAGAGAAAAAAAAAACUUUCUAAUUACAUCCAUGGGAGAGUGGCUAAAAGAGAAGUUGCCUACUAAAGACAUCUUAAAUGGUUCAUCCAUGCAAAACUUCAGCAGUUGUAAAUAAAUAACAGGUUUGCCUCGAUGAAGAGUGCCUAUCUCAGCAGAUAAGGAAGGCGAACAUGAACUUGCAACAACAUCAACAAAGGAUUUAGAGGGCCUAGAGGCAAUAUUAGGGUCAAAGAUGGACACAGGGUUUACUGUAGAAGCAUAUGAUGGCUUGGGAUGUUGAGAAGGAUUAAGAUAAUAAAUAAGAUGCCAAAAAAAUAAAAUAAAAUAAGAAAAGUCAAAGCGUGCUCAGCAUUGUCCUUAAGACUAUUUCUGCCCCUUAAAAUAAUAUUUUGGUGCAAAUAAAUUGUUGACAGAUAAUCCCCAAGAUACAAUGACUGUAAUUGUUGUAAGAGUGCACACUCAAUAUAACAAUUUGCAACAACAGUAAAUAAAUAUAUAAUACGAUGAUUUAUGUGGUAAUAUGGAAAAAGUAGAGUUGAAGAAGAAAUUAAGAAAAAAAUUAAUAUCUUGUAGUAAUCUAUAGAUUACUAUUUAUAGAUUAAUGGUGUCUAUUCAAAAUACCUUUUCAAAUAGCCACCAUUUAAUUUAAGUCUAUUUCAACUACUAUCAACUUCCUUCAACGUUAUUUUCAUAACUACCACAACUUCCUCAUUAACAUUUAAAUUUGAACUCUUGUAAUUUGAUUCAAAUUUAACUGUGCAGGAUCCGGUAUUUUGAAAUAGCCUCACACUCAUACAACAAUCCCCCACAUAUUUCAAAAUACGCACAAAUUUAAUUAAUCAUCAUAUUUUAUUUAGAAUUUAAAGCAUAUGUCCUUGUGCUUUUCAGGCUAUGAACCAGGCAUUGACCAACUAAUCGUAUUUCACAGGAACUUGGUGAAAUAUAAAAUUUCUAUUAACCAAUGUUCCUUUAACGUGAAUCAAAGGACUAAUUGUUCACAUUAAACUCUCAAUUACUUUGUGGUUUCGCGGUUUGUCACUUUAAUGACCAUGUGCCUACCUGGAAUUCAUGAGUGCUCUAGAGAUGUUUGCCUCACUCUUAUAGGAAUCGACCCAAUUCCAAACUCAUAUAGGUGAACCUCCAUCAAGAGUUCUUUAUAGUUUAAGUACACUACCAUACAGUAUUUAGGCUAUGGAGUUCAAUAAGAGUUAAAAGAAAAACUCAACCUUUUUUUUUCACUACAAUGGGUACUAUCUCACCAUAGCGAGGACUCAAUUUUAUUAAUUUGAUAGUACUGCAAAACAAUAGGUAACUUGUUAUUACCUCUAUGAACCUACUCCAUGGAAUCUCCAAUCACAUAGGUGGGGUUUACUAUUACCCUUGCCUUAUGUUCUACGCAAUAGUCUCAUCCCCUUCAAUGUUUGUUCUACUAACCUCCUAUUUAGUGGUUUAAUCAGAGGAUCGGCCAAAUUUAACUCUAACCUGACAAAAUCUAGGCUUACUACCCUAGAUUCUAACAGCUGCUUAAUUAUAUUGUGUCUUAGACGAAUAUGUCUACUUUUCCCAUAAUAAAUUUUAUUCUUUGUUGUGGCUAUUGCAGCUUGACAAUCAUAAUGAAUCGAGAUUGAAGUAAGAGGGUGAGAAUUAAUGGGAAGAUUUGCUAAAAAAUUUCUCAGCCAGUCAACCUCAGUACAUGCCUUUUCUAAAGCAAUUAGCUCAGACUCUAUGGUGGAACGAGCAAUACAUGUUUGCUUGGAAGAUUUCUGUGAAACUGCACCUCCACCAACGGUAAAUAUAUACCCACUAGUAGAUUUAGUUUCAUUGGAUUCAGGUAUCCAAUUUGCAUCACUAUAACCGUCUAAUACUGGUGGAGAUGUAUCAUACAUAAGCCCAAAAUUCAUUGUGCCUUUCAAAUAUCUUGCAAGUCUAUCUAAGGCAAUCCAAUGAUCCUUGUUAGGAUUUUGAGUAUAUCUACUCAAUCUACCAACGGCAUAAGCAAUGUCUGGCCUUGUACUAUUCAUUAAGUACAUGAGGCUACCAAUAAUUUGGGCAUAUCUUGUUUGGCUAACACUAUGCUCAUUAUUUUUCUUAAGUUGGGUAUUUGCAUCAUAUGGCGUAGAUACAGAUUUGCUCUAGUAAUACCUAAACUUCUUUAAAAUUUUCUCAACAUAGUGCUCUUGUGAUAAUCUAAAACCAUCAUUUGUUUUUAUUCCAAGUAUAACAUUUGCUUCUCCCAUAUCUUUCAUAUCAAAAUUAGAAGCAAGUAGCAUUUUAGUUUCGUUAAUCACAUUUAUACUUGGACUUAAGAUAAGCAUAUCAUCAACAUACAAGCAAAUGAUCACAUAUAGAUUAGUAUCAAAAGAUUUAUAAUAUACACAUUUAUCUAAAUCAUUGAUUCAAUAUCCAUUUGUUACUAAUACAUGAUCAAAUUUCUCAUGCAAUUGUUUUGGCGCUUGUUUUAAGCCAUAUAAUGACUUAAUUAGCUUGCAAACCUUAUGCUCUGUACCUGGAAAUAUACAACCUUCAAUUUGCAUCAUAUAUAUUUCUUUAUUAAAUCUCCAUUUAAAAAUACAGUUUUUACAUCCAUUUUAUGAAUAUGCAAAUUUUGUAUUGCAACUAAUGCAACAAAACUCUUAUAGAUGCAAUUUGUGUUACAGGAGCAUAAGUAUCAAAAUAAUCUAUGUCUUUCUUUUGAGUAAAUCCUUUGGCAAUUAAUCUUACCUCAUAUUUGUCAAUUGAUCCAUCGGCCUUUAACUUCUUUUUAAAUAUUCAUCGACACCCAAUUGGCUUGACACCAGGAGGUAAGUCAACAAUUUCCCAUACGUGAUUACUUAUAAUUGAAUCCAUCUCAUUAUUGAUAUCCUCUUUCCAGAAUGGAGCAUCAUGAGAAGUCAUAGAUUCCUCAAAUGUUUGAGGGUCACUUUCAGUUAAAAAGACAUAGAAAUCACCACCAAAAUCAGUAGCUUUUCUUAUUCUUUUACUUCUCCUUAAUUCAAUAUCUGAACUUUCAAGAGAAUUACUCUGUAAAUCGACUUGAGGUAAUGUUGUGUCUAUAUACACUUUCUUAGGAAAAACAUAUUCAAAGAACUCGGCAUUUUUAGACUCAAUAAUAGUAUUUAGAUCAAAUACUUAAUUUUUAUCUUCAAGUAGCAAGAAUCUAUAUGCGGUGUUAUUUUGAGCAUAUCCUAUGAACAUAAAAUCAACAGUUUUAGGUCAUAUAUCCUGUUUCUUUUAGGAUAGGGUAUUACUAACUUUGCAAGGUACCCCCACACGUUGAUAUAUGAUAAAUUAGGCUGAAAACCUCUCCAUAACUCGUACGGGGUCUUGCCAGUUUUCUUGUAUGGAAUUUUAUUUUGUAGGUGACAAGCUGUAAGAAUAGCUUCCCCCCACAAAUUCAUAGGAGCCCCAGAACUUACAAGCAUUGCAUUCAUCAUUUCUUUUAGAGUUUUAUUUUUCCUCUCAGCAAUCCCAUUUGAUUUAGGUGAAUAAGGAGGUGUAAUUUCAUGAAAAUGCCAUGAUUCUCACAAAGGCAUUGAACAUGUUAGAUUCAUACUCCCUUCCUCUAUUAGUUCUUAAUUUUUUUAUUUUCUUCCCAAGUUGAUUUUCAACUUCAUUUUUAUAAAUUGAGAACUUUUCACCCACUUCAUCUUUAUUUCUCAAUAAAUACACCUUAGUAUCUCUUGAUAAAUCAUCAAUAAAGGUGACAUAGAAUCUUUUACCUCCUCUGGUCAUGGUUUGUUUUAAAUUUCCAAGGUCAUUGUGAAUUAAACUAAGAAAUUCAAUUUCUCUGUUAAGAAUUAGGUUACAUGUCCUUUAUGUGGACUUAGACUCCACACAUAUAUCACAUUUUCCUAUGUUUGAUACACUAAUAUUAGAUAGUAAGCCAAUAUCUUUCAUUUUCUUUCAAUAAGAAAAAUUCACAUGGCCUAAUCUACCAUGCCGUAAAUCAACAGAGUCAACAAUAUAAGAAGAAGGAGAGACUUUGUUAUUAAUAAUUAUGUCAAGUACAUUAAUCUUGAACAAAUCACCAAAGCAAUAUCCUUUCUAACAAAAACCCCAUUUUUAGUCAUUACAAUUUUAUCUCCUUCAAAUGAGACUUUUACACCUGCUUUCCCAAGUACAAAAACAGAAAUUCAAUUAUAUCUAAUAUUGGGAACCUGUAGUACAUUGUUCAAUGAAAGGAUUUUUCCAGAAGUCAAUUUUAGAAGAAUUUUCCCUUUUCUCAUAACUGAAAUAGCACUACAACAAACAAUAGCAUUACCGACGAGAUAUUUCCGAGGGUUUUAUUUACCUUUGGUACUAAGUACUUUUUACAAAGGUGAAAAAGAGUUGUCGGAAAAACAUUAAAAAUCCUAUUAGCUCUUUCAAGAGAAAUUAUUGUCGGUAAUAAAUAAUACACUAGUCGGAAAUACAGCUAUACAAGGGCAUAAUUAAUGAUAAAUCUUCUCAAGUUGGACCUAAUGUUAGUGAUAUGUUUAAAAAUAAAUGAGUGGCUAAUUAAAUUAUGCACUGCCUCUCUCUAAAUAAAAGCCCGAACUUGAACUUGAACUCGGUGGCUAAUUAGAUUAUUAUUAGUCCACUAAAAUUGAUUUCAUUUGAAAAAAAAAAUGGAGAAGAAGGCGAUUAGAAGAUCACAGAUCUCCCUCUCAAUAACUUUUUAAUUACACAAAGAUCUGACAAUUACCCAAAGGUGAUUAUCGAUUGUUCGCACUUUUCGAUUGCCGAAGGUGAUUAUCUCACUUCUCCAUUGUUCGAUCUCUCAAAUUUGCAGUUGAUUUCUUUAUUUUUUUCAAAUUAAUUUAAGGUGAGAUUCAAGUUAGUUUUGGAUUAGUUUAUGAUUUCUGUUGAGUUGUGUCCCACAUUGGCUAGUAAAUGGGAGAUACUUGGGUUUAUAAGGUGGUAGGUCACUCCACCUAAAAGGCUAGUCUUUUGGGUUGAAUACCUAGAAAUCUUAUGUUAAGUCCCCCCAACAAGUGGUAUCAGAGCUAGACCCUAGUAGCCAGAAUGUGGUGGUGGAACAAAUCAGGUGUGUCGGACGAAAGGAUCGAAGUCCGGCGGUGGUUUCGUCCGAGGGGGGGAUUGUUGAGUUGUGUCCCACAUUGGCUAGUAAAUGGGAGAUACUUGGGUUUAUAAGGUGGUAGGUCACUCCACCUAAAAGGCUAGUCUUUUGGGUUAGAUACCUAGAAAUCUUAUGCUAAGUCCCCCCAACAAUUUCCAUCAGCUGAUGAGUUUUAGGGUUCUAUUCAAAGAUCUCUUCACAUUGCUCAACAAACAUAUCGAAUGAUCCGAAUUCAAACAUGUCAUUAAAAUAGCCGAUCAAGGUCCAAUUUUCAUCUGAUUUCAAACGCAUCAAUUUACUUUUCUUGAGUCUCUUUCUGAUUUCAAUGGAGUCUCCAAGCUGUUUGUUGAAAUGCCUUAUAGAAAAAGGAAUGUUAUUUAAACAAAGUUGGGGCUUAGUCAGUUGAAAUGCCUUAUAGAAAAAGGAAUGUUAUUUAAACACAGUUGGGGCUUAGUCAGUAGAUAUUAAACUAUCAGGUUCAUGGAGACUAUAAUCCUAGUGUAUAAUUACAACUUGGCAGCAUCAUUUUUGCAUUUAUUUAAUUUUCCUUUUUCAGAAACAAUAUUGAUUAUUUGGUCUACUAAUGAUGAUGUGGGGAUGGAGCAGAUUCAUAUUUCUUGAUUCAUAUAGGAUAUUAUUUGGUCGAAUGAAGAUGAUGAUGGGAAUGGAGAAGAUGAGGUAGAGGCAAACGUAGGUCUCAGAGGCUAAAGAACACGUGUUGGAGGAUGCUUGAAAUAAUUCAAGCUAUGAAAUCAUAUUGCGAAUACAUUUGAAUUUUUUUUAAUAUACUAUUAAAAUUGAUUAUGUAGUACUUUUGAUUGGUGAAUGUGAUUUCUAUAAAUUUUUGAAAUUAAUGAAGCUACAUUUAAUGUAUUUUGCGUGUUGCUAUUGCUAUUGCUAUUUUGUUGAUUAUGUUGCAUUGGUAAUACAUAUAGUUAAAAAGAAUAAAAAUAAAAAGAAUAAGAAAUAAUAAUAUUAAAUAAAUUAAAUGGGUCACUAAAUAAAUAUAGAAGAAUAUUUCCAACGUGUUUCUUGCAUUUUCGAGGGUAAAUUACGGUUGGAAUAGUAAUCAUUUGUGCUAUUCAGCCUCAUUUCCAAGGGCAGUUAAUGCUAUUUCCAAGGGCAAAUGCAAUUGGAAAUAUGUAAUUUUUCGUUUUAUAGGGAUCAUUUUCCGAGGGCAUUUGAUGUCAUUUCCGACGGCACUGCCAUUGAAAAUAAUUUAUUUCUCCGACGACCCAUCGAAAAUUGUACUUUUCCGAUGCGACUUAAUACGACGACGGUCGACGGCAUGACUUUCUCGGAAAUGAGGUGAGCAUUUAUGUAUUUCCGAAGAUAUUUGCCCUCGGAAAUAACCAAUUUUCUUGUAGUGUAGAGUGGGAAUCACCAAGAUACACUUGUUCUUCUCCAUCACUCAAUUAAACAUACUCAAAGAAAGAAUUUUAUGUCACUACAAAUGUGUUUGGUAGUGCCAGAAUCCAUCACCAAUUCUUUGUUUCCCUCAGCAACAAUCAUGUUCGCUUGAGAGACCACCACAGUGGCAAUAAUAUCUUCCCCGUCGACCAAAUGGCCUUAGGAGGCUUGUGAUCUCCAUUUUUGUAUCUACAUUUAUUAGCAAAAUGUCCAGGUUUGCCACGAACAUAACAAUUGCCUUUUUUUUCUUGAAUGUGUUUUUUUUUUAUUUUUGAAAAACUUUUUGUUGGUCUUUUGAUUCUUGCUUGGAUGAGCCUCAUUCUCAGCUAUAUUAGCCUUAAAAGUAAUUUCCUUGGCUUCCUCCAAUUGAUCCAUUUGUCAAUGUUUUUCUGCAGUUGGGAUAUGAACAAUAGCAUCCUCCAAAUUCUUAUGCUUCCUUUCAUGCUUAUUAUUUUUCUUAUAAUCUUUCCAUGAGUUAGGUAAUUUUUCAAUUAGGCGACCAACCACAAAAGACACUGGAACAAUGAUAUUUUCAUUUUUCAGAUCAUUAAUAAGCAUAUGGAAGCCAUGAAUUUGAGAAGUCACUUCCUUAUCUUCUGUCAUCUUAAAAUCUAAAAAAAUUAGCAAUGACAUACUUUUAGGCUCCAGCAUGUUCUAUGAUAUAUUUUUUCUUCAAUUGAGCCCAAAUUUCAUAUGCAAACUUGUGCUGUGAAUAAACAUCAUAUAAUUCAUUUGAAAGAGUGUUGAGAAUGGUGCUUCAGCGUACCUUCUUUGCUUUAAUCCAAUUUUGAAGUAAUACCUCAUAAUUUUCAGAGUCAUAAUCUAGUGGAGGCUCUGUGAGAAAUUCAGCAAGGUUCAUUGCAUGCAAUGUAUCACAGAUUCGAUCAUGCCACCACUUGAAAAAAUUCCCACCAAACGGUUCAAAUUUUUUGUGUCAGGUAAAGUUUUGGUGGCAGCCAUCAAUGUAGCAUCAGUUACGGCAUCCAUUAAAAGAAUUAGUCUUAAGAAUGUUGGAGAAGAAUUAAGAUAAUAAACAAGAUGUCAAAAAAAAAAAGAAAAAAAAAAAGGAAAAGUCAAGGCAUGCUGCGCACUGUCCUUAAGACUAUUUCUACCCCUCAAAAUAAUAUUUUGGUGUAAAUAAGUUGUUGAUAGAUAGUCCCCAGGAUACAAUGACUGUAAUUGUUUUAAGAGUACACAAUCAAUACAACAAUUUGCAACAACAGUGAAUAAAUAUAUAAUACGAUAAUUUAUGUGGUAGUGUUUGGAAUAUGAAAGAAGUAGAGUUGAAGAAGAAGUUAAGAAAAAAUUAUUAUCUUGUAGUAACCUAUAGAUUAUUAAUUAUAAAUUAAUGGUGUCUAUUCAAAAUACAUUUUCGAAUAGCCACCAUUUAAUUUAAGUCUCUUUCAACUACUUUCAACUUCCUUUAACAUUAUUUUCAUAACUACCAUAACUUCCUCCUUAACAUUUAAAUUUGAAAUCUUGUAAUUUGAUUCAAAUUUAACUGCGCAGUAUCCGGUAUUUUGAAAUAGCCUCACAUUCAUACAGCAUGGGAAUUGUAUUUUGGUGGUGAAUCGAGCUUGGGUGGGGCCACAAACAGGUUACAAAACAUCAGUGUUGGUUUUGUCACGGUUUAGGGUUUAAGAUAAAUUGUGUGCAUGGCUUUACAAAGAGGCAGAUGGUUGUUGAUGAUGAGUGAUCGUCGGAGACAUCAGUGGCGGCUGGCCAGUGUCAAGAACGGCAAAGAGACAGUUGGGUGGGGGUGUUUGUUGUUGAGUGGUAAUGAUGGAAGGCAACAAAAUUGAUGGAGGCGGCUGUUAAAGAUGAGACGCGGGCAACUGGCUAGGGCUCAGGUUUGACAUACGCGUGUAUAAAUGAGACGUGAUCAGUAGGAUCUGAUGAGGGCAAUGGCUGUACGGUGGCUGUAAGUGGCAUGGGAGGGAUCCAGCGGCUGUAAAUCAGCAUUAAGGGUGGUGGGGGAGGGGCCGGCAUGAGAGGGAGAGCGAGCGAUGGUUGGCGACAUUGCAAGGCCAAAAGCAGAUAUGGCUAAGGGGCUAGGGGCCAGUUGGAUGGUGGUCGGCAGAGAGCGGUGGUUCCGGCGGUGGUGCCGGCAGUGGUUGGUCACCACUACCGACAGCCGGUGAGGCCAUACCAGUGUCUAGAAAGUGAAAGGAGUGUGGCAGCUAUAUGAGUUGGGGUUUUAACGAGCGCUAUUCAGACCAUUUUAGCAAAUGACCUAUUUAUCCUUUUUUUUCUUUAAAUUUUUAAUGUCAAGACUGUAUUGAAUAUUACCUGGCUACAAGUUAAUUAAACUUAUGUAUGGACAAAUAACCUUAGUAAAUUACAUUAAACGUUAUUUACAUUAAAUAAAUUGACAAAUUAACUAUUAAUUGUUCAACAUAUUUCACAACUUCUCUUUUAUUAUUUAUUAUAUUUCUAACCGUUCAAUUAAAUCUAACAACCUCCUCCGACAAAUGUUUGUUACCUCAUCAUGUGACAUGUAACUUAACCGUAGCCAUAGGCAAAUUACAGCUAAUUAAUAAUACUUCCCGCACAUUCUGUUAUGCUUUGCUGCAUGCUCCAAUCAGCUGCUGCUACUCCUUGCUAACUACUACGUUCACUAGUUCAAACUUGAUUAUUUCCCUCCAAAGUGGAAGUGGAUUCAUGUAUCAUUUUUCAAGUACUGUACUUUCAAGCCCAGUGUCAUUACGAAAUUGAGGCCCUACUAGCUAUUGUAGUUAGAAAAUUAUAACUUUAUAAUUUUUGGUAGCAAACAUAUUAUGAAAUUAAGGGCCUAUUAACUAUUGUAGUUCGUCAGUUAUAAUUUAAAAACUAUAACUUUAUAGUUUUUAGUAGUAAACAUUUACUAUUGUGUUUAGAAAUUAAUUAAGUUAAUCUUAUCUCACACUUCUAUUAUGAAAAAAUUUAUAAUAUUUUUACUACUUUUAUCAAAAUUGUUAUUUAAAAACAAAUUUAUCUCACGCUAGCUAUUUUCAUUUCAAACGUUCAUCUUGUUUACAAUAAUAAAUUACUCUCAAUUUUCAUAUGCUAAAACCACUUUCAAAAAAUCACAACAUGAAAAGCCAACAUUAAAUAUAUAAAUUAAUCAUGCAUUUAAGCUGGAACUUCAAGGAAAGGAUAAUCUGUGUACCCAACAACAGGAUCAGGAAUGUAAAAAGUGCUUCUGUUGUACUUGUUCAGAGGUGCAUUCAGCCCAAAGCGCUUUGGCAAAUCUGGAUUAGCCAAAAAUAAACGACCGAAAGCAACCAAAUCUGUAUUACUCUCAGCAACAGCUUUGUUGCCUUCAUCUCUAUUGUAUCCUCCAGCAGAAAUGAAGGUUCCCUCAAAAGCG
Molecule: long non-coding RNA, 15828 nt
Filed under: Citrus sinensis (sweet orange)
Lineage: Eukaryota; Viridiplantae; Streptophyta; Magnoliopsida; Sapindales; Rutaceae
Description: long non-coding RNA (CSIN_LNC004996)
Source: RNAcentral